Molecule: ribosomal RNA, 254 nt
Filed under: uncultured bacterium
Lineage: Bacteria
Description: partial 16S ribosomal RNA
Rfam family: Bacterial small subunit ribosomal RNA
Source: RNAcentral
UACGAAGGGGGCUAGCGUUGUUCGGAAUUACUGGGCGUAAAGCGCGCGUAGGCGGUUUUGCAAGCCAGAGGUGAAAUGCCUGAGCUCAACUUAGGAAUUGCCUUUGGGACUGCGAGGCUUUGAGGACUGGAGAGGUGAGUGGAAUUCCGAGUGUAGAGGUGAAAUUUGUAGAUAUUCGGAAGAACACCAGUGGCGAAGGCGACUCGCUGGACAAGUAUUGACGCUGAGGUGCGAAAGCGUGGGGAGCAAACAGG